UACGUAGGGUGCAAGCGUUAAUCGGAAUUACUGGGCGUAAAGCGUGCGCAGGCGGUCUUGCAAGACAGAUGUGAAAUCCCCGGGCUUAACCUGGGAAUGGCAUUUGAGACUGCAUAGCUAGGGUGCGGAAGAGGGAAGCGGAAUUUCCGGUGUAGCGGUGAAAUGCGUAGAUAUCGGAAGGAACACCAGUGGCGAAAGCGGCUCCCUGGUCCAGCACCGACGUUCAGGCACGAAAGCGUGGGGAGCAAACAGG
RNAcentral lists this ribosomal RNA (253 nucleotides) under uncultured bacterium. Its description in RNAcentral is "partial 16S ribosomal RNA". It matches the Rfam family "Bacterial small subunit ribosomal RNA", at positions 524 to 776 of the family's 1533-position model. The record is from RNAcentral.